ACAGCUAUAUCACGUUGAAAUUCCGGUUCCCGUACGAUUACCGAAGUUAAGAAACGUCGAUCCUGGUCAGUAGCUUGACCGGUGACAGCUUGGGAAUACCAAGCGCUGUAAG
Non-coding RNA from Acanthosepion pharaonis, 112 nucleotides. The record is from the annotation of a GenBank genome assembly. NCBI's taxonomy places the organism in Eukaryota, Metazoa, Mollusca, Cephalopoda, Sepiida, Sepiidae.